Molecule: ribosomal RNA, 456 nt
Filed under: uncultured bacterium
Lineage: Bacteria
Description: bacterial SSU rRNA
Rfam family: Bacterial small subunit ribosomal RNA
Source: RNAcentral
CACAGCGAAAGGUGCUUGCACCUUUCAAGUGAGUGGCGAACGGGUGAGUAACACGUGGAUAACCUACCUCAAGGUUGGGGAUAACAUUUGGAAACAGAUGCUAAUACCGAAUAAAACUUCGUAUCGCAUGAUACAAGGUUAAAAGGCGCUACGGCGUCACCUAGAGAUGGAUCCGCGGUGCAUUAGUUAGUUGGUGGGGUAAAGGCCUACCAAGACAAUGAUGCAUAGCCGAGUUGAGAGACUGAUCGGCCACAUUGGGACUGAGACACGGCCCAAACUCCUACGGGAGGCUGCAGUAGGGAAUCUUCCACAAUGGGCGAAAGCCUAAUGGAGCAACGCCGCGUGUGUGAUGAAGGCUUUCGGGUCGUAAAGCACUGUUGUAUGGGAAGAACAGCUAGAGUAGGGAAUGACUUUAGUUUGACGGUACCAUACCUGAAAGGGACGGCUAAAUACGUG